GGCCUCGGGAGCGAGACGUUGCUGCGCCGGCAGCCCGGCACCACGGACCGGUGCGGCUGUGGGUCGCCAUAGCGACGCUGGUUACUGGCAAGCUUCAAGCCUUCAGCCGAUGGGGCUGCUGCGUGCACGCGUCCACCAUCUUCGCCGCCUCCUCGAGACGAGGCCGCCACCAUCGAGUUCCACUCCGGCGCGUUUUUUGCACCCCCUCCCGUGUGCCUCCUUUUUCAUCGGUCGCUGCCACCUCUCGCCAUGACGCCCGCGGCUCUAGCCCUCGGAGCUCGGUCUACUGGGCCUGGAUCCGGGCGGUGGCCCAGCCCCCGCUACCCCAUAGGAGGAGGAGGAAGAAGGCAUGGCGUGCUACAUCCCCUUCCAGGUCUACUUCCUACGAACUUUGUUUGAUUUUGUUCAUCCAAUCUUUUACAGCACGGGAGCGACGUGGUAAAUCCAUCCACCUGGUUGCUAAACUGCAUUGUGCUCCGCUAAUCUGAAUUCCCUCCAGAGAUCAUGGGCAUUGGAGUGAAGGACAGUGGAUUUCCUAUCGCUAUGUGGCUGUCUUCCAAUAUGGUUCUGCUGUGCCCUUUAAUAUUAGUGAUGAUGAAGCUGAGCACUAUCUUUAUAUGAUCAGAAAUCAUGCUUCGGGAUGGCUUCCGGAGAUGAGGAAAGACGAUUAUGCAGUAGUCGAAAUGUCAUCCCUGACAACUUGGAUGAAAGGAGGUCUUGAUUAUAUAGUUCUUAAAAGUUUAGACACUUCUGGAAUUCGGAUAAUUUCAAGUGUUCUUGGUCAAAGUCGAUGAUAUGGUUGAGGAAUUUACUGAAAUCAGUCGUAUCAUGGAGAAGACUGGCGACUGCACAAUGAAAAGAAAGAAGCUCUUUCAACUUAUGGGCAAGGCUAAUUCUAAUCUUGCAGAUGUUAUCAUUAGACUUGGCUGACAGUUAUGUCAUAAAUUGCUUGGAAAAAUGCAACAUCGAUGCUAGAAUCCCGAGGAGACUAUGGCCGGUGGUGGAGAUUAUUUUGUAUGCUGACGGUGGCGGCUACACGGCGGAGGCCUGCACACUCGACUUCGACAUUGCCGUCUUCAACAAGAAGGUCUCCCUCGCCGGCCAAGAUCAGUAUAUGGUGGCGGGCGGGCGGAACCUCUUCCCACUGCUCCCGGAGGCGUCAAGGGCGUCAAGCCCUCCGUCGUGAUCGGAUGGGGCUCCCAGGAUUGAGAAGAUUUUGACUUUGGAACCUUUUAGAUGUACACAAAGAAAGCAGAUUGUGCUGGUAGAUAAUGAUGGUGAGAAGAUCAAAUUUGUUUUAUGGGGAGAACGGUUUCACAUAUUGUACUUGUACAGAAAGAGAGCGAUUGUGUUUCUUUUCAAAAGAUAACUUUUGUCAGCCAUUGUGUUGCUUGCAAGCAGAAUACUUACUGAUUUAGUUCUCACACCGAUUCUGCUGAAGCUGUGAUUUGUACCGAGUUAUAUUGUGUCAAUCCUAACGUUGGUAUAUGCAACCUAACAUGUUGAGUUUGCUGCAACGAAAACAAAAAGAAUUUAAUAUUUUUUUAUAACAAAAAGAAUUUAAUA
Molecule: RNA transcript, 1566 nt
Organism: Aegilops tauschii subsp. strangulata
Lineage: Eukaryota; Viridiplantae; Streptophyta; Magnoliopsida; Poales; Poaceae
Source: RefSeq, a predicted model, not a curated record